This 84-nucleotide transfer RNA is filed under the name Felis catus (domestic cat). It matches the Rfam family "tRNA". From Rfam's summary of the family: Transfer RNA (tRNA) molecules are approximately 80 nucleotides in length. Their secondary structure includes four short double-helical elements and three loops (D, anti-codon, and T loops). The record is from Rfam by way of RNAcentral. Lineage: Eukaryota; Metazoa; Chordata; Mammalia; Carnivora; Felidae. RNAcentral also lists the same sequence under 2 other names.
GCCUGGGUGGCUCAGUCGGUUGAGCGUCUGACUUUGGCUCAGGUCAUGAUCUCACUGUCAUGAGUUCAAGCCCCGAGUCAGGCU